This 459-nucleotide ribosomal RNA is filed under the name uncultured bacterium. RNAcentral describes it as "partial 16S ribosomal RNA". It matches the Rfam family "Bacterial small subunit ribosomal RNA", at positions 338 to 795 of the family's 1533-position model. The record is from RNAcentral.
CCUACGGGUGGCAGCAGUGAGGAAUAUUGGUCAAUGGGCGAGAGCCUGAACCAGCCAAGUCGCGUGAAGGAUGAAGGCCCUACGGGUUGUAAACUUCUUUUGUAAGGGAGUAACUGAGUCCACGUGUGGGCUUAGCGAGAGUACCUGAAGAAAAGCAUCGGCUAACUCCGUGCCAGCAGCCGCGGUAAUACGGAGGAAGCGAGCGUUAUCCGGAUUGAUUGGGCUUAAAGGGUGCGUAGGCGGAAUAUCAAGUCAGCGGUAAAAAGGCGGGGCUCAACCCCGUCGUGCCGUUGAAACUGAUGGUCUUGAGUGGGCGAGAGGUAUGCGGAAUGCGUGGUGUAGCGGUGAAAUGCAUAGAUAUCACGAAGAACUCCGAUUGCGAAGGCAGCAUACCGGCGCCCAACUGACGCUGAAGCACGAAGGCGUGGGUAUCGAACAGGAUUAGAUACCCGAGUAGUC